RNAcentral lists this ribosomal RNA (487 nucleotides) under uncultured bacterium. Its description in RNAcentral is "bacterial SSU rRNA". It matches the Rfam family "Bacterial small subunit ribosomal RNA", at positions 28 to 507 of the family's 1533-position model. The record is from RNAcentral.
GAUGAACGCUAGCUACAGGCUUAACACAUGCAAGUCGAGGGGUCUCAAGGGAGCUUGCUUCUGCGAGACGACCGGCGCACGGGUGAGUAACGCGUAUCCAACCUGCCCUUCAUAUUGGGAUAGCCUUCCGAAAGGAAGAUUAAUACCGAAUAACAUGAUAUAGUUGCCUGAUUUUAUCAUGAAAGCUCCGGCGAUGAAGGAUGGGGAUGCGUUCCAUUAGGUAGUAGGCGGGGUAACGGCCCACCUAGCCGACGAUGGAUAGGGGGUUCUGAGAGGAAGGUCCCCCCACACUGGAACUGAGACACGGUCCAGACUCCUACGGGAGGCAGCAGUGAGGAAUAUUGGUCAAUGGGCGCAAGCCUGAACCAGCCAAGUAGCGUGAAGGAUGACUGCCCUAUGGGUUGUAAACUUCUUUUAUACGGGAACAAACUCCGGUACGUGUACCGGUCUGCGUGUACCGUAUGAAUAAGCAUCGGCUAACUCCGUG